This 311-nucleotide ribosomal RNA is filed under the name Salmonella enterica subsp. enterica serovar Corvallis. RNAcentral's name for it is "partial 23S ribosomal RNA". It matches the Rfam family "Bacterial large subunit ribosomal RNA", at positions 879 to 1188 of the family's 2925-position model. The record is from RNAcentral. Lineage: Bacteria; Pseudomonadati; Pseudomonadota; Gammaproteobacteria; Enterobacterales; Enterobacteriaceae.
GCCUCGUGAAUUCAUCUCCGGGGGUAGAGCACUGUUUCGGCUAGGGGGCCAUCCCGGCUUACCAACCCGAUGCAAACUGCGAAUACCGGAGAAUGUUAUCACGGGAGACACACGGCGGGUGCUAACGUCCGUCGUGAAGAGGGAAACAACCCAGACCGCCAGCUAAGGUCCCAAAGUCAUGGUUAAGUGGGAAACGAUGUGGGAAGGCCCAGACAGCCAGGAUGUUGGCUUAGAAGCAGCCAUCAUUUAAAGAAAGCGUAAUAGCUCACUGGUCGAGUCGGCCUGCGCGGAAGAUGUAACGGGGCUAAACC